GGCGGCCUCUGGGUAGGCGCGCGGCGUGGGCCUCAGAGCCUGCGGCCGGCAGGGAUCAGGGCUCCUAGGAGCACAGGGCGCCUGUCACCCUGCAGUCCAGUCCCAGCGGUCCUAAAUGCUGCAUCAGAGGUUUGCAUUCAUCGCUCACGGUUGCGACGGAAGAUCCGCGCGGAGAGCGAAUACUUUCUCAAAAGUUAUAUUCCGAUGUAAGCUGGGCA
RNAcentral lists this long non-coding RNA (218 nucleotides) under Fukomys damarensis (Damara mole-rat). Its description in RNAcentral is "lncRNA (ENSFDAG00000026104.1)". The record is from RNAcentral. Lineage: Eukaryota; Metazoa; Chordata; Mammalia; Rodentia; Bathyergidae.